Molecule: long non-coding RNA, 41711 nt
Filed under: Phoenix dactylifera (date palm)
Lineage: Eukaryota; Viridiplantae; Streptophyta; Magnoliopsida; Arecales; Arecaceae
Description: long non-coding RNA (PDAC_LNC004391)
Source: RNAcentral
GUGAUGAGAGCACAAAAGUGCAAUCGUCAUACCAUUUUAAUUAGUAUUAUAGCUAAUCAUUAAUAAUAAAAUUAACUAAUUAACGUUGUAUUUGUGUUUGAGUGCAAGUAAUCCAAGAAACCCAAUAACAUUGGGUUUGAGCCCAAUGCCCGGCAGCCCGAGCUCAAGUCAAGCCAACAUCUUCACGUGAUGGAGCUCAGUCCACGAUGCAGCCAGCUUUCCAAAAUCACCUUCCAUCCACGCGCUCGUUCCAUGCAUGUGGCUUCCAGAUGCAACAUCCCAAGCCGUCCGUGAGGAGUUUUCCCACCGCGUGCCAGAUCCCAUUCCAUGCGUAGCACCAUAACCCAUCUGCGAAGCCAAGUCCCAUCUAGUCGUUUCUGUGCAUCCCCUGCCUCUUGAUUCUCCUCCUGAAAUCCCUGCAUCGCGUCCCCCUCUUGGCCCAAAGAAGGAAGUUCACAGCCUCCUCCAAGCGGUCCCACGGCGCCCUCCAAGUGAUCCCGCGGCCAGCCAAUCUUCCAUUCCCGAUUCACUCCAUCCGUGAUCCAACCAGCAUCAAGCCGCCCGUCUCAGCCUCCCAUCUCAUCUUCUUCCGUCCGCACAUCAACCUCCCGUCGAUCCCGCUGUGGCCAACCGUGAAGCCUUCCAGAUUCCAUCCGCGACCCAGCUGCUCGUGAAGCCCCGUGAUCAGUGUCCCUCCUCCGUGAUGCAGCAGCACACGAUCCUCCCGGCUUCUUCCGCUCGACCCAACGCAUUCACAACAACCUCCCACGCCCGAUUGCAAGCCGCAUUCUCCCAGCAUCCCACGCUUCAAGCCUCCGAGUCCGCUUCUUCCACGAGCCCCAGCUUCUUCCUCCCGUCGAUCACGACCCCAGCUCCAUUCCGUCUCCUUCGCGUCUGCAAGCAUCCCGUAAUCCAGCCGCAUCUGCACCAGAUCAGCAUUUCAGCCUCCCACGGCCGAUUUCAAGCCAUGAUCUUAGCGUCCAAAGCUUCCGAAGUCCAUCCGCCUCUUCCGUGAUGCAGCAGUGCACGAGCCUCCGCUCUCCCAGCCUUCCACGAAGCACCAUGUCUCCUCUGCAAUCAAAUCUCCAGCGAUCACGCGCCCGUCCGCAUUCAUCUGCCCCGGAUCAUGCAUCCAUGAGCGAUCACGCGUCCGUUACCCCUCCAUCAGGGGAUUUGUCGCUGUCCAUUAGGGGGUGGGCGACCUAUUUAAGGAGAGGAGGAGGGGAAGAAAAGGGAGCUCUCGGCUGAAGGAGGUGCACUCGGUUGGGGCCAAGAAAUAGGGGAAGAAGGUUCGAUUUGGGAGAGAAGAGAAAGAGAAAAAAAAAGGGAAGAAACAGAGCAUGGCUCUAUUUCGUUUGAAAAGAAGAAUAAAAAAUUAGGAAAAAAAGAAACGGGAGAUUUCUAUUUGAUUUUCUUUUAGUCCUUGUUUUCUUUUUUUUAUUUGUAGAAGAAAAGAAGCAUUAGGCUUCAUCUUCAAUUUUUUUACUUCUGUAAUCAUUUCUAGUUACGAAAUUUUUAAUUUUUAUUUUAUGAAAUCCGUGUCUAAGUUUCAGUUCAAUUUCUGCAAUUUAUUUUAUGCAUUUUGAAAUUCUUAGUUUUAAGAUAACUCUAAAAUUUUUCUUUGCUAUUCGAUCUGCAGUUUUCAUUUAUAUUAUGUCUUUAGGAAUCGAUCCCUACUCUGCAUUAGAAUUCAAUUGCAAGUUUUCUUUCUCUCCUUUGUUUAUUUUCAAAUAGAAAACAUUCUCUGAUAGACUAGAGAAUCAUUCCACAUCCCCGAAGUAAUGUUUUUUUCUUUUAUCAUUCAAAAAUCGAUUUCGAAUCCGAGUGAACGUUUUAAUUUUUAUGCAACUCCAAUCGCCUCCCUGUGGAUCAACCUCUUACGACCACUAUUCUUCGAGUAGAAAAUGUAAGAGUAAAAUUAAAUUAAACUUUGUUUGUCAAUUCUAACAACGAUCUGUUUAGCAUAUUUUUAGGUAAACAUGAAUCGGACAACAGGCUCCAUGAGUUAUGCGAGGCGUAGAGCUGAAUUCGUAAGUUUUUUUGAAACUCUUUAAAUUUAUCUUAAAUUAUUCUAUCAUAUAGCAUGUAUACUCUUUAAAUAUAAUUUUUGUUGUAGAUGGAUGAUAAUGGGAGGGAGCCUGGUAGGGUGGAGUUUUAUAAGAUGACUCACACCCACCGAGAUGGCAGCUUUGUUCGGAAGGAGUCAAGAGAUAUAGUUAUAUGUAUUCAUCUUUGACUUGUGUUGUAUUUUUUUUGUUUUAUUAUUGGCAUAUAUUAAUUUAACUUUUUCUUUUGAGAGAUAUAGGAUAAGACAACUGAUGAUCCAAAGAUUGAUUCAUAGAUUGAUUUUGAUGAUCACAAAAUNNNNNNNNNNNNNNNNNNNNCAACAACAACAAAUCUUAUUUCAGAGCGCAUUGGGAGUCAUCAUCAUCCGACGCGACCAGUCAUAUUGAAGCUCAAGUGCUCGCUAAAUUGAUGGGCCCAAAGCGUUAUAGUCGAGUGAGGGGUUACGGCGUUGGAGUUAUCCUCACUUAGUUUUCUUCAGUGGGCACGUAUACAAGAAAUACCAGAGAAGGUAGUAACACUGCAGAAGUUUGUCAUCUUCAAGCAACUAUUAAAGAGCUAAAGCAGAACCAAGCAAAUUUGCAGUCUCAACUUGCGAAUAUUUCAUCUAUGUUACAACGAUUUCUUCCUUCUCAAGUAAAUAACUAUAUAUAUUUGAAUACUUUACAUAUUAUCAAUUAUAAUAUAUGAGUUCAUGUAUCACAUUAUUCCUAACUUCUAAGAUUUCUUCUUUUUUUUUUUGCAGAUUUCUGAUACUUCAAACGCUCGUAGAGAUGAUGAUGAUGGAGCUGAAUCCCGUCCUUGAUGCCUUCUAGACUAUUUUUUAUGAGUUUGAUAUGUAUAUGUUUCUUAUUUUUCAUAGUACAUUGUAAUUCUAAACUUAUUAAGCAAAUUUUUAAUCAAAUAUGACAAUAUUCAUAUUUCGAAUGAUCUGAAUGUUUGUGUCAAUGUAUCAAUGUAAUACAGGUUUAUAUUGUUAUAAUGCAUGUUUUAUAAUGUGUGUUUUAUAAUAUGAAUUGGUACUUUUAUUUUUUAAAAAAAUACAAUUUCUGAUGCUUUUAAGCGUCAGUAAAAGACGUCGUGGCACAGCCCCGGCACGCUUAUACCGAUGCUUCAAACGCUUACGUUUGCGACAGAAAAUGCGGAUCUCCUGAUGCUUCAAAGCGUCGGCAAUUUUCGACGCUUUAAAGUGUCAGGAAAAAUCGGAAGAAAACCGUGAGGAAUUUGUCCGUCGGGUUAUCGCCGACGCUUUUUAAGCGUUGGCAAAUUCCGAUUUUUGCCAACGCUUUUGUCCUGAAUCGGCAAAAAGUUUUGCCAUUCUGGUAUCGCCGACGCUUUGGCGACGUUUCGCGUUGCAUCGGCGGUACUUUAGCCUAUGCUUAUAACGUCGCUAAAGGUCCCAAGAAGCGUCGGGAUAAGUUGGUUUUCCUAUAGUGGCAGGCUGUUGUUUUGUUCUUUCCCUUCGUCCGCAAAACUUCUCAUGCAGAGACCACACGUCGGGCCUAGGUCCACAAAGCUUUAGCCAUUUCAGGACAACCAACCAUGGACCAAGAGCCAACCAUGAGAGAGGACGGGACAGGUUUGGUAGGACGUGGGGCCAUCGUUCCCUUUUGUCACGCGAGGGUGUGCAACCGGGACGGCAUCAUACGACGGUUGGGGGGGGGGGGGGGGGGGUAUACAUGCCCCUCGUAAUUUUACGACGGUCGUAAAAUUCGUAAAUACCCUCAUAAUUUAAGUAUAAUUUUUUUAACACCGUUAGAACAACCAUUGUAUUAUGGGUAUUUGUACAAUAAUAGAGUUUUACGAGGGUAUACAUGCAAAUAUCAAUUUUGGAAAGGUAUUCACGUCCGAUAUUAGAAGGGUAUCCAUGCAAAAAAUCCUUUCAAUUAUUGAGUAUUUUAUAUUAGUUUAUUUAAAUAAUUGAUUAAAAUUAUUUUGAGACUAUUAUAUCUAUUAUUUAAUGUUGUUUGAAAUGCUGGAUAUUGAAAUAUUCUUAUUGCUUAUCAAUUAUAAAGGAUAUAUAUCAAAUUGAUUUGGUAGUCACCAAAGUGGCCCAAUUACCUUGAUAUUAUGGUGGAGUUGAUUAAGCAUUACGGUUUGCCAUCAUAAGAUGAUAAAUUAGCCCAAAGGCAAUUUAUUAAAGAUGGAAGGUUACUAUAUCGUAUUGUUCAUUAUACCUAAAGGUAGAUGUCAAUUCAAUAUUAGUAAUAUGAAGGCAAUUUAAGUGAAUAAAGGAACAUCACUUAUUGAGUGAAUCACUAGCAUGUCAUUAUCCUAACCCAAAGGUAGGAUAUGAUGAUGCACUAGAUCAUUCAUCAAACUUAUUAAGUGAAUCACUAGCAUGUUAUAAUCUCUUACCCAAAGGUGGGAUGUGGCGAUGCAAUAGAUUGCUUAUACGAUUGCUUAUAGAGUGAAUCGAUCGAAUGUCAUUUUUUUGACCCAAAGGUGGGAUGUGAUGAUGCACUAGAUUGCUCAAUAGUGUUUUAUAUGUAAUAAGUCUGAAUUAAGGAUAACUUAUAGCAUGGAUUUGUGUGAUUUCAUUGUGGCUCAAGCACUUCCAAGAAACAUGUCCGACAUUCCAGAAUUGAAUGGUUCCAAUUUUUCUGAAUGGCAUGAGCAAAUACUAAUUACAUUGGGAAGUUUAGAUUUGGACAUGUGCCUACGAAUUGUUGAGCCUACCAAACCCACUACAGAAAGUUCUCCUAAAGAGAAAACUCUUUAUGAAAUUAGGAGCGUUCCAAGCGCCCAAGCCUUAUGAUCAUGAAGAGCAAAAUUACGAAGAAUAUUCACAAAUCAGUUUCUACUAACACCAAGGCUCGUAAAUUCUUGACAUUUAUUGAGCAACAAUUUAAAGCUUCUAACAAAGCGGUUGUAGGGACUCUUAUGGCCACCUUAACAACUAAAAGGUAUGAUGGGUUAAGUGGUGUGCGUGCACACAUUAUGAAAAUGCAUGACUUGGCUGAACAACUUAGGCCCUGUUUAGGGGAGUUUUUGGAGGGCCAAAAAGCACUUUCUGGCCUUCCAAAAGUACUUUCAGAUAAAAAAUGGUAUUUGGUAAAAUUUUCGAAAAGCUGUUUCAGCUUUUGCGGGAAGCUGAAAACAGCUUUUGGGGAGAAGCUCCAAUUUGGAGCUUUUCAAAAAUGCUGUUUUCAGCUUUGUUGGGAAGCUAUUUUUUGGACCAAAAUAUCCCAUUUAAAUCUUACUUUUUUCCCCUAAAACUCUCAUCCCGCCUCUUCCUCUCUCACCCAUCCCCUUCCCCUCUCUCUCUAUCUUCUUCUUCCUCUCAACGCCGCCGUCACUGUUCCUUCUUCCUCUUCUUUUUUUGUUUUUUUUUUUGUUUGUUUUGGGAGCUCGUGGUUACCCAUGGUGGUAGCCACCAUGCCGGCUACCACCCAUGGCCGGCGACCCCUAUAUAUUUCAAUGAAAUAAAAUAAUAAAUAAAUAUAACUAAAUAAAAUAAAUUAAAAAACUAAUGAGUGAGUGGAAAAUAAUCUGAUCUAAAUAAAUAAUAAAUAAUAUUAGUAAUUAUUUAACCAAUUUUGUCACCUAGCUAGAAAAUUUAUUAGAGAGAUAAAUGGUUAUUAGAAGGAUGAAAAAUUAAUUUACACUAAUAAUUAUAAUAUUUUAUAUAUUUAUUAUUGUAUUAUACUAUAAAUAUAAUAUUAUAUUACAUUACAUCAUAAUAUAUUUAUAUUGAUAUGUUAUGUUAAAUAAUUUAAUAUUAUAUUAAAUUAUUAUUCUAUAAUACAUAAUGUUAUAGUACUAUAUUAUAAUAAUAUUAUAUUACAUUACAUUAAUAUUAUACUAUAUCAUAUAUUUAUGUAUUAAUAUAUAUUAUAUUUUAUUAUGCUCUGUUGUAUAAUACUGGUAAUGUCCUUUAUGGUCAUUUUGUCACACAAAAGUACUUUCUCAGUUUGUUUACCAAACACAUGUUAAAGUACCACAGCACUUUAGAAAUGUAGUUACCAAACAGCAAACAGCUUUUUAUAAACGCUCUGCUUCAGACAGCUCUACUUCCAACAGCUCUACGUUCAAAAUCUCUACUACUAACAGCUCUCCCAAACAUGGCCUUAAUUUAAUGAAUAUGUACUAUUUCAGAGCCCUUUUUGGUGCAAUUCGUUCUCAACUCUCUUCCUCUGCAGUUUGGUCCAUUUAAGUUCAAUUAUAGUAGACAAAGGGUAAGUGGACCAUGAAUGAACUUAAACUGUGAUGUGUGUGCAAGGGGAAGAGAGAUUACAAAGAGAAAGACUGCAAUCUGUCCACAUCAUGUCACAAGGUCAUAAAGGUAAAUGACAUGGAAAAGGAAAAUCUAAAAGAAAAGAGCCACCAAAAAAUGAUACACAGUCUACUGCAUCUAACAGUGCAGAUAAGAAAACUGUGGUAUGUUUCUUCUAUAAAAAAAAGGGACAUAUGAAUAAGGAUUAUCGAAAGCAUAAGGCAUGACUUGAAGAGAGGUAAUUUUCUUUCAUUAGUGUGUUUUGAAGCCAAUUUAACUGACAUACCUUCUAAUACUUAGUGGUUAGAUUUUGGUACCACAAUUCAUGUGUGUAAUCCUAUGCAGGAAUUUCUGACAACCCACAGGCCACACAGAAAUGAGAAAACCAUUUUUACGGGGAAUAAAUUUGAAGCUGAAAUAAAUGCUAUUGGAACCUACAUACUUGUUUCUGAUUCUAGUUUUUGUUUAGAUUUACCAAAGACAUUAUGUUCCUUCUAUCUCCAAAAACAUAAAUUCCUUGUCUCGCCUUGAUGUAGAAGGACAUACUUUUGAAUUCAAGAAUAAAACCUUCUCUAUCAUGAAAAACAAUGUUUCUGUUGGUAGUGAAAUUUUAUGUGAUGGUUUGUACAAAAUAAACCUCGAUACAUUAUUUUCUCAUUCGCUUCUCACCCUGCAUGUAAAUAUGAAUGUUGGCACCAAGCGUAGUCAUGAAACUGAAACUUCAUUGAGGUUGUGACAUAAAAGGUUAGGUCACAUCUCGAAAGAGAGGCUUGAAAGAUUAGUAAAGGAUGGAGUUUUACAAACUCUUCACUUUACGGACUUCAGUAUUUGUAUAGAUUGCAUUAAGGAAAAGCAAACUAAAAGUACCAAGAAAAAUGCCACAAGAAGUUCGAUACUACUUGAAGUGAUACAUAUAGAUAUAUGUGGACCAUGUUCUCCUUAAUCCAUACCCGGAGACAAAUAUUCCAUCACCUUUAUUGAUGACUUCUCACGUUAUUGUUAUGUUUAUCUAAUUAAGAAAAAAUCUCAAGUCUUGGAUGCUUUUAAGGUUUUCAAAGCAGAGGUUAAGAAAUAACUAGAUAAACAAAUAAAAGUUGUGAGAUCAGAUAGAGGUCAUGAAUAAUAUAAAAAAUAUGAUGAGAAUGGUCGCAACAUGGGACCAUUUGCUAGAUUUCUUUAGGAACAUGGUAUCGUGGCUCAAUAUACAAUGUCUGAAAUGCCUCAGCAGAAUAGUGUAGCUGAAAGGCAUAGUCGUACCAUAUUGGAUAUGACAAGAUAUAUGAUUAGUGACUACAUUACCUGAAUUUUUGUGGGGUAAAGCCAUAAAGACUGCGAUGUAUAUUUUAAACCGGAUUCCUACUAAGGUUGUUCCCACAACCCCUUAUGUAUUUUAGGUGGGAAGGAAACCGAGUUUAAACCAUAUACAUAUAUGAGGUUGUCCAAGCCGAAACAAGGCUUUACAGUCCACAUGAAAGAAAAUAUACUGCCACAAUUUAAAGACCAAAAUAACUCAUUAGAACAUCUUUAUCACAAAGUAGACCAUCAGUAGACAGAAUAUAGAUAAAAAUAAUUUACACUUUCAGAAAAAAGAUCUUGUAACAACAAAACAAUCAACACCACUUUUGUGAAACCCAGUGGACUAAGUCUGGUCCAUAUGACCGGCCCAGCCCAAAGGCAAUAGGAAGGAAGACUCUGGCUGGAGUCUUCUUCCUCCUCUCCGAUCGCAAUGAUGAUUCCUCUCCUAUUGUGUUGAAGAUGAAGGGUUCAUCGCAAUCAUGAUACCGUCAGAUAAGGCUAGGAAAAAUUUAUUUAUAGAGUUCCUCCUCCUUCCUUCGAGUUCAUCGAGAUCGAGCUGCCGACUAGAAGUUUCUCCUCCAUUCGUCUUCCUCAACUUGUCGCCGGAAGGGGACGCUGGACCACCUCGCCGGACCGAGGCUUGGAUCUAUUAGUUGGAUCGCAUUUGCAAAGUAAGUAAUGAUCUACCUUUUCUAGAUUUUUUUUAUUUAUAUAAUAUUAUUUUUACAUCGAAUAAAUUGUUAAUGGAUUUAUAUGUGAUUUAUGAAUUUUUCGAGAUGGUGAUUUGAAUGAAAUAUAGGUAUGUGAAUUGGAGUAAUAUUUUUUGGACUAUUAUUACAUUUACGGUUCUUGCAUCAUAUAUGCAGAUUUUGAUCAGAUUAUGAUACAUUUAUUAUUUUACAAAAAGAACUUUGAUGUAUAUCAGAUUUGAAACUCUCAAUCUGACUAUGUUCUUUCUAGAUCCUACCUAUUAGUGGUUAUGCAUUAGCAAUGCUAGCCCCACACAGGAUAUAAAUGUGGUAUUCUUGUCCACUCCGCAAGGCAUAAGUGCGGUAUUCUGGCUCACUCCGCAGGGUAUAAUGCGGCAUUUUGGCCUCCUCUGCAGGAUAUAAGUGCGGUCCAGUUUCUAGCCUAGCCACAAGAUAUAAGUGUGGCCAUAGUUAAAGACUGUUGAGUUAAAUAUGAUAAAUUUCGAAUCAAAUUUAUGAUUAUGUAUACGGAUAUUUGAAAGAUACGGAUUUCAAUAGAUUUGUGUUUUGAAACUAAAUUGAUUAUAUCUUUAUAUUGAUUUAUCGUAAUUUGUAUUUAUAUUUUAUAUUAUUAUUGAAUUGUCUAGUUAUGGUAUUCAUAACUUACUAGGCUAUCUAACUAAUUAUACGGUUUUCUACUAUUUUUAUAGAUCCAAAGAAUUAGCUCAAUCGAAAUUUUACAACAUGGAAGAGUGACUAGAAGAAUUGUGGCACGAAUUAUCUUAACUUAAAAUUUAUUUAAAUUGAUGCAUUACCUUAGACUAAUAUUGAAAUUGUGAGACAUUGUAGGUUGAGUUAGUUGAUGAAAAAAAGAUUGCAUAUUAUUGAUUAAAUUAUUUUUACCGCCUGAUUUUGAUAUCAUGAUGAGAUGUCUUACAUAUUUCGUGAGGAGAAUUCACUACGAGUGUGCGGCUUGGAUCGGAAGCGUGACACCUUAUUAAAUAAAAGCCAUAAGCGCAAUGGCCAGCAACAUGAUCUGAUAUAUAUUAAAAGAAAACUCUGACGUUUCCUUUCAGGAAUUCUAUUUGAACCAUAAUCAAUAAAAAAAAAAAGAUCGACUAUUCUCUGUACAGCUUACAAUCUCAAAAAGCAUUGUUUUUUUCUUUUUAUAGCCAUAGGGAAAGAUACAAUGUUCAGAUUAUGAAAGGCUUCACAUGUAACAAAACCAAAAAGGCCCCAAAUGUACAAGAUGUGAGACACGGUACCUAAACCCCUACUACAUCAGCAGCACAAACCCAAAACAAAGAGUGACCACAGCAGAUACUGGGAGGAGGUCCUUCUCUAGUAGCAAACCAGGGAACUACCUUACAUGUACAGAGGUCAGAACAAACGCACACCUGAACCUAGGUCCAGCAGAAGCCCAAAAUAAAGCAAAAAACACAUCAGAAAUGGACGAGAUGCUACUCUAGCAGCAAAUUAGGGAACAGCUCUACAUGUACAGAGGUCGGAACAGACACCUGAAUCAAAGGCCCAGCAGAAACUUGGAUGAAAGAGGAAGAACAGCAACAGAAUCCUCAGUCCAAAUUGAGCUAUAAGCUGGCAGGGCGCCAAGGAAAUUAAGAAGGCAGCAAAAUUACUGACUUAGCAGCAGACGGGGCAGACGGGGCAGGAAAAAUAUCAUCAGAAUGAUGAAUCUCCUCCAAAAUUUUUCUCACUUCAAUCCGUGAAACGAAUUGUUUCACUUAUCGCAGCGACAUCAGUGUGCUCUUCUGAGUGUCCUUCUUGGCUGGCACCUUCGUGGUUCUCUCCAGAUUUUUUUUCACAACCCUUUCGAUCUCAUCAAUAGAGCUCGACAGCUUCUUCUCAUAUUCAAUUGGGUUUGAAUAGUGGGGUGCCUGAUUGGUAAAAACAGUUGCAGUCUGCUGUGGCAGCUCCGAUGAAGAAAGUGAACUGGGAGAGGAGGAUGUCUUCACUGGAUCAUUAAUUGAGGUCGACAACUUCUUUGCAUGCUCAGUAGGGUUCAAAUCAUCAGGUGCUAGAUCGGUAGAAACAAGUAUGGUCUGGGGUGGGUGGGAAGAAGAACAUGUCUGCAGUGGACGUUCAAUUGAGCAUGAUGGCUUCAUCUCAUACUCAGUAGGCUUCGAAUCAUCAGGUGCCAGAUUGCUGGAAACAGAUGUGGUCUGUCGUGAGUGCUCAGCAGGAGGAAGUGAACUGGAAGAGGAAGAUGCCUGCAGUGGAUGCUCAAUUGGAGAAGCAGAGGUAAAACUUGUGAACGUCGGAAUUGAGGAGGUAUCAGAAAUAUCAGACGGGAGGAAUUGGUUGACUGGAGUCUGUUCAGAAACACUUGGUUCAUGUCGAGUCCGUUCAGAAUCACUUGGCUCCUGCAGCAAGGGAUUUGUGGAUAUUGUCGGUUGGGGAGUUGCUUCAGGAUCAACGUCCCUCUGCUGAGCAUUCUGCUGAGCCCGAGCUGCUCGCAAACGGCUCCUUCUCCUCUCCAAAGCCUAAUAAAUUUCAAAAACAAAUCAAAAAUCUAGUCUGUGUAAAAUUCAUCAGGAAGAAAAACGGUGGUAAUAGUGAGACAAUAAAGCUGACAUGAAUUAAAUCAAUAUUUCAUUCAUAGCUCUUCAGCUUCAAUUCUGAAAUUAACAAAAAUAAUACUACAUGUAAGACAUCUCUGCCAAGUAUGUCCGAAAAUGGAUGAUCAAAAAAUUACUUGAAAAAACAGAAUAAAUUUAAUCAAAACAGCAAGUCGAUAAACAUAAUGCCAAGUGAGUACAAGACACCCUUUCAAGAUGAAGAGCCGCAUAUAUUCCUUUAAAACAGAUUGAUCUACUCAAGAACAACAGCUACUUAAAAGAUAUCAAUAAAAUAGUCAAUUAUUAAAAGUGUAUAACAAAAUGAAAUUCUGAAACUCAAAAUGUGAUUACUCACUUCAACUGUAAAGUAGUGCACUUCUAGGAUUCAAAGCAGUUGUCAUAAAGAAGAACUAUGACAUCAAGAAUUAUGUCCAGCUAUUACUUGUCCAAGUUCACUAAUAUACCUAGAAUGCUUCAAGGGCUUUCUGACAAGCUGAUCUAAUUUGUACGAAAACAAUUUUAGAAAAAGGAGAAGAUCAAAGCAAAAUGGACUGCUAACUUUAAUCAAAGCAUACAGAAGUGGAUUAGGAGUCAAAACUAAAAACUUUGGUUCUCAUGCUACUACUUAAUAAAUACAUGUGCAAUUAUUAAAGCAGGACAAGAUAGAAAAAUUCAUACAACAUCAAAUUUGCAGAGGAAUCAUGCAAUUAUUAAAGCAGGACAUGAGAGAGGGCUUUGUGUGGCGUCUUUGUAAGUAGAGAAACAAAUUUUGCUCUUUUCGGCCUUUAUUUUCUUACUAAAACAAGUUUGGUUCUCUCUCCAAUAUUUGUUCUUCCCUUCCACUAUUUUUCCUUGUUUUGAUUAAAAUUUGUUUUGGAUCCUGGACCAGCUCAUUUGAUCUACAUAAAAAAAAAAGUGCCAUUCUACAAUCAGAGGGGUCAAUUCAAUCACCAAUAUAAUGAUCCUAUGGUGCUCUCUAGUCAGUGAAAAACCACCAAUUUUUUCAAUGAACAGAAGAGAAUAUUCCAUAAAGUGGUCGUAAAAUGAAAAUGAAAAAUAAGUUCCCACAUCCCAUGUUGACCCCAAACCAGACAAAUACCAUGUUUCCAUUCGAGGAUCACGGACUACUCAUGUAAUAAUCCUAUCAAAAGAUCAAAGAAAACAACCAAUAGAAAAAAGUCGACUAAAAAUGACAUGUAGUAACAAAGAUGUGUAAAAUUCUGGUUUUCCUACUUCAAACUCAGAUAACACCAAAGUCUCUGUGCAAGCACUCCAGCAUACUCAUUGAAUAAUGUAUUAUAAUAUUUUAAAUGGGAGAAAUUUACUUGCUUCUGUUCCUUCAGAAAAAGUAAAGAGACAUUCCAAAAGUUCUUCACCAUUUGAACAUUAUUCAUCAAUUAAAAAGAAUAAACCACGCAUUGAUCCAUCAUAGCAGUAACAAUAUUCCAAAAUUCAUCAAACUCAAAAUUGAAGAGGCCACAUGCAAUAGACAAUAAUCGGUCCCAAUCUUCCAUCAAGUUGAGAAAACUUUUUUGGAGCAAUAUCAUUUUCAGGGUAUCUUUUCAAUCAAUGACUCAGAUUGUGGAAAAAAAAAACAUACAAGCCACAUAUGUCUAUCAUGAUAUUAAUGAUCUUCACUCAUUCAUGAGACAAAGAUUUGCAUAUUGAUGCAGCUUUAAUUAAUCAACAGAAGUUAAAGAAAUAAACCACAUAGUUCAUGAUGGUAUGCAGUAAAUUAGAACUUCAAGCAUGGCAACAGAGACGACAUAAAUACCAAACCAGUCACUGAAUUGAAUUCAAUAAGAAAACAAGAGGUGCCGAAGAAAAUAGAUAUCCAAGCAAGUCGAUCGUUCUCCUGAUUGCUCUAGAUGUAAGAACACGAGUAGGCAACUAAAUUUCAGACAACUGUCAAGAAAGCAUAUAAAUUCCCAUCUAUUCAUCCGGUUACAGAUUGCACUGCCGAUACUCUGAUCACCGGAUAAAAUAAACAACCCACGGAACAAAAUAAAACUCUAAGUAUGAGCUAGAAGAUUCUAGAAAUGCAUGAAAACGCCACAUUACAGAGCAUCGUCAUCUGAGGAACUAAUAAUUUCCAAGAAGGUAUAUUCUAAUCGUUUAAAAAAUAGAAAUGAAGAGUCCGAAACUUCCAAAGACACAAGCAGCACCCGUCUAUUGAGGAUCUGUUAACCAUUCCAUCGUUUCAAGAAGUAAAUUCCACGAAAACGAUCAUAAAUCUUCUGAAAUGGAAAAAGAAAGCCAGCCGAUCCCAUCAAAAAAGAAAAGACCUCUUACUAUGAAUCAAAGAACAGGCUCAAAAUGGGGCGGGGAGAAAUAUCCUUACGUUGACGAUGAGGGUGAUGUCCCGAAGAGGCGUCCGAGGGUACCAUGUCGGCAGAGGACUCUUCCUCCUCCGAGUCACGGCCCACGGUGGGAUGUUCUCCUUCCCAUCCGCGAACCGCCGGCUCGGGACCCGCCUCGGCCCUGCCUCUGUCACCGGCGACGCUCCCCUCCGGAUAAAGAAGCCACCACCGAUCCCCCCCGCUGCCGCCCCUCCUCCCCGCACAGGCCAGUUCCUCGCCUCCGGCAUCGCGACCUUCGAAUCCCAUUCCAGCACCAAAAGAUCACCCAAAAAAACACAAAGAAUGGCAAAAAAUCCCAAGAAAUGAUCUAAGAAUAUUCCAUUUCUCACCGGAACUAGCUUCGGAUUCUUCUUCCUUCUUCUUCUCUGAUCUCUUCGGCUUCGGAUUCUUCUUGGUCUCAGGGAAGGAAGAGGGGUGUGGGGCUAGCGAUCCACAUGGAGGCGUGGAUCCGCAGCCGACGGGGGAUAAUUCGAAUUUAAAGAAUCGGGGGAGGGGGGGAGUUUGGGGGUUUCGGGCGGUGAGCGGACUCGAAAAGUGUGUUCGGCUAUGAUGGUGGGGUAAUAGUUACCGUGGUGGUGCAUUCCUCCUGGUUUCAAGUUUGAAAAUUUUAGUACCUCUGACGAUCGGAUGGUUGGAUUUGAGCAUGGGUUGAUAAGAACUAACGGAGGACGGUGCCCUACGAAUGUCUUAAAUGGUUCCGACGGUUCAGUUGCGAUUAGUGGUGAUGGGAUCCAGCAAUCGGCAGUCGUGGUCACUCUUUAGUAAUUACAAAAAUAAAAAAAAAUAUUUCCUCAAUAAAAUGCAAAGAAAAGAUGAAACAUUUUUUACCAUCAAAAAAUUGCGGUACAUGUCUCCUCUCCGAUCUCAUAUUUGGAAAGAAUUAAUCAAUUUUUUAGGAGGCAGUAGCCCAAUGAUUGUAAUGUCUUUUUUUUUUUAUAAACAUUGCAUGUCUUAUUCCAAUUGCAAAUAUUUCUAGUGUUCAUACUAACCUUUCUUUACUGUUUUCUUUUAAAAUGUGUGUAACUUUAAACUUGCCUUUCGAUUUUCUUUUAUUUGUAUAUUGUAAUGCAAGUUGCACGUAUUUACUUGUAAUUUGUUUUUUCUUUUUUUCUGUGGUGGCUAAUGAUUAUUAUUGUUGCCUAAUUUUCCCAAAGCAAAAGGACAAGGGCUUUUUUUUUUUUGGUACUUAGGUAGCUCACGUCAGCUUGGCGUGAGUUCUACCCUUGUGUCAAAAGAAAUAAAAGUACACAAAGGUAGGGAGCAGGAAUAGUCCCUAUCCAUAAAACAUCUCCGGAGUGAUGAAUAGCAAAAGAGGCGGUCAGUCUGCUGCCGUAUUCGCCUUCCGAAAUACAUGGGCAACCUGAAAUGAACUACAUCCAGCCACCAAACUCUGGAUGUAUCUGAGUAGAAGAUGGCCAUCGUCCUCUUUUGAAUUUGUACAAAAUGAAUCUCAGCCAUAACCUUCUUUCCUCAAAAACUAUAAUUGAGUUAUUAUCUGUAUAUCUAUAAACUUUCCACAGAUCUUUUUUCCCAAAUCUUACCAUGUAAACUAACAUGUUUAUUUAUAGUGUAAUUUAGGAUAAUCAUCAAACUGAUCAUGCCCUUGAAUUGUAUUUCUAUGCAGGCCUUUCAAAUGCAUCCCUUCUGCCAAGAAAAUAGACUAUAUCGAUGAAAACAAUUCAUUUGAUCUAUUUUUCUGUUUUAAAGAUCUGAACCGGAUGCUACUACCGUACUAUCAAGAGUAUUAGCUGCUAAAGGUAUUUAUCCGCAUCGAAUUUUCCACUGAACUAUGGUAAUUUUACAAAUUUCAUGACCUAGGUUGUAUUUAGUACCUUGAUACAUUAGGUUGUUGACAGGAGUGAAUCAUAUAUUUGGUUCCAUCAUUUAUCCUUCAGUCAUGUGAAUUAUUAGUCCAUGUCAUUCCAGUUCUUUUUGCAACGCAUUUUCCUUUAAAUCCCAAGCUCCAUGUUUUUCCUGGUGUUCAGAGCAGGAUUGAUACUCAUGAUUCUUCAAAGUACAGCCAUGAUUCAAAUUUUUUAUUAUUUAGGCGAACAGCUUUAGAGAAAAAUUUGUCAGCUAAUGGCUUAACCUUGUCAUGUCUGAUGUCAAAAGUUUGAGAGCUUGCUGGAAUUCAGAAUGUUUAUUCUCAUGAUUUCUGCAAUCUAUUAAGCCAAGAAGCAGACAUCAUCUUUCAUUAUCCCUGACAGUAAACUCUCAUUGCAGAAUUCAAAACAGAACACUUACAUGACCGAUGUUUGCUAACAUGCGAGAAUGUAUAAAAAAUAAAAUAAGUUAACGGCCAGGAAAACUACCCUGGUAGAAGGCAACAAAAAACUUUAUUUUUCCAGAGGAUUUGCGAAGUAUUUGUUAUAUCAUGUGUAUUGUUAUACACUGUUAGCUUGCCUUGUUCCAUUCCAAAACAAUAUUCCAGUAUCAAUGUAUAUAUGAAAAUGCGUGCUAAUAGCAGAAAAUUAAAUCAAUAUUUUUCUAUAUCACUGAAUAGCAUGACACUAGGACAAAGUGUGCCUGACACAAAUUACAGUGAAGUACUGACAUAUAGAUGUUUCCACUGUUCAAUGAUUUCAUCAUCAUUCAUCUCCAUUGUCUUCAUCAGCAAGAGAGCAAAACACUAUAUACAAUGUGAAGUGUAACUCAGCUACUUCCCAUGCUUGCUAUGUGCAUUGUUUAUAACAUUCAGUCUUCUUCCUUGCAUUCCAAACAUUAGCUUCUAGUAGUACCGGUUCUGGUGCUCCUUCUGGAAAUAUUCUUGUUUCUGUGAAUCAAAUGAUCAAGAGAUAGUAUAAGAGAAAUAUUAAGACCAUACAAGGGAUAAAAAGUGAAUAGGAAGUUCUAUUAAUUUUUGUAACACAAAUUGCAGCAUAAAACUGAAGAAAAAAAAAUUACAAGCAACAAAGCAUCCAUAGGUGUUGAUUACAUUUACUGGUAGCCAAUUCAUUGGCCUAGAUUUCAGCUUGCACAAUAUCUAACUAUGCAUUAUUAGUAAUAAAUCUAUGUUUCUCAAACUCAUUCAUCUAGCUGAGGUGCAAAUAACACCAUACUUGGCAAUGUGCAGGUGGAAAAUUCCAAAUGCUUAAUGUGCUGCUCCAUAGAUGGAUACAAUGAACAUGCCCCUUCUGUUCCACCUAGAUCAAAUUAAUGAUGCAGUUUAACAUAUGAUAUAACUUUCUGAAAAUUCCCAAACAAAAGCCACGGUCAUGCCUCGUAAUGGUAAGGUGAUUUUGCUCUAACCUUAUAAACCUAUUGAAAAUGGCAAUGAUACUGACUUGAGAAAAAUCAAGUGAGGCACAACCAAUGUAAUCCAACUUUCAGUAAAUCCAGAAAUGCAAAAUGAAACUACCAAAUGCCGCAUCAAUUUCUUUUUCAAAAAAAAUGUUUGUUGUGACUAUUUCACUGAAACUUUCUUAAGUUCUAGGAUCGAACAAAUGGCAGCGCAAAGAUGUGAAUUUCUUGUAGAUGCAUCAGAAAGUACAGAAACAUAAUGCCCGAGUAAAAAAUAUUACCAAGUUAAACAAAAGCACCUAAACCCAUCUCUUCUGGGGAGCAGAAAUGUUCUUUGAUCCCUGCUGAGUGCGCCUUUUAAUUUUCUUUGAAUCGACGCUAGAAGAUGACAAUUGCCUGGGCCUUAGCACCACAGUUGAUUCAGCUCUCUGAAUCAUUUGAUUCUCUUUAAGAGGGCUAACAGAGCGCCGCAUCAGAACCCUCCCUGAAGAUCUGUUUAAGGAAGAAAAGGAUUUGGUUGAAGGUUGCCUCUGACUUUCUACUGCUGCAAAGGCUUCUUGCUGAGGACUACAAUAGGCAAUUGAUCCUUGACAGCAGAGUUCUUUGUGCUCCACAGGAGAAUCACAAUCUGAUGAUGAUGGACUAGUGCUACUCAUGUCAUAGAGAAUAUUAUUUGCCAUGACCGGGAGCUGCCUAAUAUCAGAGUUUGUAGCAGAACAAGAGGCUCUUCGAAGCCUUGUUAGUUCAAUAACCUACAUCCAUUAUUCACUUCAGUAACUUGAUGUUAACCAGAGGCAAACCUAUAACUUCCAGGUUCUGCAAAUCCAAUGAAACAGGUACCAGUUCUUUUUACCUGUUGCUCUAGAAACACCAUGUCUUUCUUCAAUUUGGAUAUUACCAUAUUUUUCCUUCUUAUGAUCUCCUCCAACUCCAUAAUCCUCUAAUCAGGAGUAAAAAGGAUAAAAUAUCAAAUUAUCUUCUCAAGUAAGAACCAACAAAAGAAGACGCACCUUAGAGUCGGCAACACUGGAUGCAUGGGCAGCAGCAGUCAGUUCCUUUAUGGUAGCAUCCUUCUCUUCACACUCGUUUCUAAGGUUGUAAAAUUCUUGCUCUGCCGCCAGUGAGCUCAACUGAAUGCAAUUGAAGUCUGGAUAUUAUGCAGGGAAAAUCACAUAACCGUGUUUAAAUGAUCAUGUAUAUUCCAUAAGCAUUAGUACAAAUAACAAUAAUAAAUAACUAACCGGCCAGUAAAUUAGUAAUUAAAUCCAACUGUACAAGAACAACUGUUCAAUAAUUCAAAACUUUCUCUACUCAGCAAAUUGUACUAGCAAAACAAAUGAUGAAGAGAACUUCUUAAAGACUAAACAAGUCUUAACCACAACUAACCAAGUCCUAUCAUGGUAUGGAAUCAGGCAGUAUGGGGUGUUCCAUACCAUACCGGUUUGGGUACCAGUACCCAGUACAGGUAGCGUAUCGAUACUCGGUACGUCAAAAACAGUUCAUACCGUACCGUACUAAUACUGUGCUAGUAUGAUACUGGUACGGAGUCCGGUAUCAAGACGGCAAAUAUAGGUCCUAUCCAUGACCAUCUUGGAAGCACAGGAUAAAAAAGAGGAUGUUUUUAGAAUGCACAACAAAACAUAAAGCAACUAAUGGAAUCCACAAUUUAAAUUCAGAUAUUACGUAGGUUGGUGACAAAUGCUCUUAACCAAAUAGCAACAUACUCGAAUGAAAAAUACCUAAGGUUCAAGAAAACUUCCGAAACAGUAAACAAGUAUAGAAUACAACCAGUGAUAUCUUAUUCCUGAUCACCUCCUGAAGAAUGGCACGGAAAUAUUUUCAGAAUGAACAGAACAUCGAACUGAAUCCAUAAUUUUUAUUUAGAUAUUAUCUAGUUGGCGACAGUUUCUCAAUAACAAAUAAAACCAUGCUAGAAUGGAAAAAAUUAAGGCUCAGAACAUAUCAAAAUAAAGCUUCCAGCAUUUUUUUUUCUUUUCAAUUAAGAGAAUGCAAGAAAUGUCAAGAAAGCAUCACCAAGCUGUUCAGAAAACUUCACCAACUAUGGAAUCCCAGUCAGUACUUUGCAAGCACAAAGGCAAAAUCCCAGUCUAAACAUGGUUUAGACCAACAAAAAGGCAAUCCAACUUUAUGUCUCUGUUUCCCCCGGACAUAAUAAUCGAUCAUCUUGGAUCUAUCAAAGAGUUUAACAGUUCAAGCACCUGAAUAUCUGCAGAAGAUGUCACACUCCAACAAAAAUCAGACAAAUCAGACAUUCGACGCUCCUCUUGCUCCGCCAUAUUCACGAUUGAGGUCUUCAGCAUCUCAUCUUUGGUAGAUUCUAUUCCAUUCAGAUCCUGUAAGGGAAAAUGUUAAGGCCAUAUGAAAAUACAAAAUGUUAAUAUAAAUAUAAAAUUCAAUUCUUUUUAGUCAGCCAGAGCUCCCACCAUUGCCCUAUGUGACAAGUUCUUGCAAAGAGGAAUAAUGCCACACCCAGGAUUCAAUUCCAAAAUUGAACAUCUGUUGCCACCCAAUUUAGCUCCUCUAGAAUCCCGCUUCUGGGCAGCAGCAAUUCCAGAAUUCAUCCGCUCACACAAGUUGUCGAGCUUCUGCUGCAUGCUUAGCAGCACCUGAUCCUGCUUUAUUUGAAACUGAAUUGUUAAGUUUUCCAGACCGCCGCCCCCUCCCCAACCAAAAAAAAAAAACAGCUACGGAAGGUACGCCAAAUCCCAUAAGGCCAUAACUACUGAGGAGAAUAAAAAACUAAUCCUCAAACCUCCACAAAAAAAAGGAGAAAAUGAUUUUCCCGAUAUCAAAUGCAUUCGGGAAAGAACUUUUACCAUACAAGACUAGCAAGCGAAGAACUCCAUAAAGAAAUCUUAGUUCUUAACGGAAUACCUACCGAAAUAAAAAGCGGUUUUUCAUGUAAAAAAGACUCUUUGUCAAGACAGAGAAUUUACCAAAGGCCGUGCCUUCACUUCCUCUUGCUUAACUUUUUGAAAGCUAAAUUUGUGAAAAAGUUCAAUGCUUUUUUUAGAACGCAUAUCCAUAAAAAGAUACAAGAACAGCGAAGGAAGCCAGUUGAUCAAACUAAAAUGGCCAUAAGAAACAAGAAAUAAAUGAUUCCAUCGCUUCAGUGGUUCAAAAAAUUUAAGACUUUUCGAAUCUAUGACGAACCCUUAUAUCUACCGAUCUGUGGAGUUGCGCUAUCUUCCGAGCUCUCUUCGACUUAGAGGAGGCCACGGCUACGACGGCAACGAUGAGGACCCGUUGGAGUGGGGUAAACAGCUCCCAAGCCGCGGCUUCCACCGGCGUCAAGCCCCCUCCUACGGCGCUGGCUGACGUGGCCUCCUGCGUGCCGACCAGGCGGCCCUGGAGGGAGACCCACGCGAGCUUCUUCCUCGCCGGGGUCGCAGCCUGGCUCGGCUCGUUGAAGCAGCUGGAGAGGCGGCGUGGAGUCGGGGAGACGAAAGGGGCAAAAGGUGCGAGCGAGACACGAGCCGGCGGGGCGGGAGUCGCGCCUGAGCCGGGCCGGGGGGCGUCAUCGUCGCCGACCAUCGCGAGAUAGUCGGAAAUAGAGAGGAGGCGGAGGCGGAGGCGUUGGGGACGGAGGACGGGGGAAUUCGAGCGCGUUUAUUACAGGUUGGAAUGUUUUGAAAUUUUGAGUGCCGAAGGAGACAGUUUUGGCAAAAAAAAAGGAGACAGUUUUGGCGAGAUGGGGGGGGAGCGAACGAGACACGUGGCAAAUAGGAUGGUGCCGUAAUGAGGCCGUUGGGAACCGGACAAUAUCGGUGAAGCAAUACUAGCCGUUAAAGGUUUUUCCCUAUUUACCAAAAAAAAAUGGUUUUUCCCUCAAGUCGGUUUCUGUUAAAAAUUUGUAAUAUAUUUGUAUUCUUUUUCGGACGUAUGUUAGAAUUUCUUGUGUUUUGAUUUCUUUUUAAUCCUUAUCUUCUUUUUGAAAGUGAUGGAGAAAAUGUGGCAUAAUUUAAGAAAAAAUAUUACAUUACUGCUGCUUCAUUUCAUUGUGGCUUGUGAUUUACUUAUUUUCAAUAAAGAUGCAAUAAAACUGAAGUUUAAUUUGAAUUGUUGGAAAUAUAAAAAAUAUUUUAUAUGUCUAUAAUUUUAAUAUUACACAAAGAAGUCUUAUAAAUAGGAUUGCAAUCAAAUCGAGUUGUUUAGCAACUCAAAUUUGAUUUAGCUACAAGUUUGUUUGAGCUUGGUUCAUUUAGAAAAAUAGUUCAUGCUUAAAUAUAUUCUGAAGUGUGUCUCAUAAAUAAGCUAAGCUUGAACUUUUAAGGCUCAAAAAAAUAAAUAGGAGUUUGGCUUCACUUACCAAGAAGCUUGUUCGAGCUUCGCUUAUAUAAUGUACAAGCCAAGCUGGAAGAAUUGCUUUUCAUCUUAAGCUUGGCUCGAGCCCAAAUAGCUCUGUAUAUAGCAAGCUAAAGCUUCAGCAGUAGGUUGUUUGCAUUCUAGCCCAUAGAGAAUUGAUAGGUUCAAAUAAUGAUUUCAUUUUUUUUCUAUUUGAACCUCAUAUGGCUCAACUUGUUUUUUCUCCGCAUAAAAGAGAGAAUUUUUAAAAAAUGAGAUUAACAGAAGUCUUAGAGAUAGAGAAAUAAAAUCAUCUAUACAAAUUAUCAAUACUCCAACCAUCAUAAGAUAUCGAGGUUAGGAACUCCAUUGUUAAGGUUUCCCAUUAUGAUUGUAAAUUAAAGAAAGGAAACAUUUUUAUUAUUUUUUUUGAGAUGCAUUGGAUAAACUAAUCUCACACACAUAUAAUCCUUUCUAUUUUUAGCCAUAGGAUCUUUAAUUUUAAACAUAUUUUAUAUUUUUCUAGUGUCAAAAAGAGCUAAAGCUUCUUUUUUAAAAAGAAAUUGAAAAUACUUUCAAUUUUCUUCAAAUUUAGCCCAUUGUUUUGCUUGUCCAAUCAAUUUUGCCUAUCCAAUAUCACCAACAAUUGAUCCAAUUGUAGCUGCAUUACUCAUGAUUGUCUAUAUGCUGCACAUCUCAACAUCAGCUCUAUAUUUUCCUCCCUCACCCUAUUUCUUCCCCUUAGCCCGUCUUCAACAUCAUCUUAUCUGGAUACCUUGUCUUCCUCCACCCUUAGUUCCUCUCCCACCAUCUCUAUUUGCCCAAUUCAUCUUCACCCCAACCUACAUUUUUUGUUUGACUUCAUCCUUUCAUUGUUGCUCUCCCUACUCACAUGCUUCUCUCUCCUUUCAUUUGUUUAACUUCGUCCAUCAUCAUUUAUUGAGCCCAACAUUCAUAUACUUUCUUCCAUCACCAUCCUCAUGUUUUGCCCCUUUCUAUUUUAUCAUAAUCACUCGACUUACUUUCCUUCUUUGCUAUCCAAAAUAAGAAAAUUAGACGAAUGGAACGCGCUUAAAGAAAGGCAUGGAAAAUAAAACAUAUAAAAAUAAAACAAAAGAAAGAAAACAAAAAGAUAUGCUUUUAACUCUUUCAAAGAUGAAACCAUGACUAUUCAAUUCUAGAUCAAGUGGCUAAAAGAAUAAAAGUGUUCGGUAUCCCGCCUUUUAGAAGUAGAAAAGUUUAAUAAAAAUAUAAUAUUAGGGAUAUGGCUUAAAAUCAACGUACCUAUCAUGAGUCACCAUGUGGCAGGUGCAACGACCAAUUUUAAACAGAUUUGAAUCUUAAGCAUAUUUAAGAGGAUCUAUUAUUAAAAGUAUUCAAAUAAGGAAGUGUUGCUGGUGGUCCAAACCGAGAACGAUUGGCACAGCGGUGUGAACGGGGUUUCGUUUGGGUUGCCNNNNNNNNNNNNNNNNNNNNGUUAUUUUCUUUAAAUAAUGCAUUGGCAUGUGAAAUAUUAUGCUUAAUCCGGUAAGAUGGUGCAUGGUUACUGUUGCUGGUGGUCCAAACCGAGAACGAUUGGCACAGCGGUGUGAACGGGGUCCCAUUUGGGUUGCCUUGGUUGGUGUUGAUUGCGCUCCACUUUCCACCGGGAAACCUGCAAGCAAGUCUCGCACCACCACUGGGGUAGUAGGGGCCCUCCGACGAUCAAGUCAGAGGAGAUUGGAGGAGAAGGAGAGAUAAUAGUAGCAAGUAAGAGAAUGCUCUGGAAGUUCUUGCUUACCCUCCCCCUUCUCCCCCCAGCCGCAUAUAUACCAGGCUGAGGGGCCCUUUUGGGGGGUUGGUCAUCGUGUAGCACGAUGGAGCUGCCACUGACAUGGCCGUUACAGGGCGUCGUGGGGCAGCGCUGGGUACGGCCAUGACAGGGCGUAGUGGAGCUCCGCUUUGUACGGCUGUUACAGGGGAUCGUGGAGCAGCGCCGGAUACGACCGUUGCAGGGAGUAGUGGAGCAGAGGGCCGCGGCGUGCCUCUGGGAAAUAGCCUGUCGUUGUCGGGAGAUGUCCGACUCGGGGUCGGGCUGCGGAGACGAAGAUGUCCGACUCGGGGUCGGAUUGCUGGAUCAAGGGGCAGCCGACUUNNNNNNNNNNNNNNNNNNNNGCCCCCCACUUCCGAGCCUGGAACCAGGAGGGGAACGGGUGAAGGGAGUGAUGCUUCGGGAUUGCCGCCAUCCCUCGGAAAGGCGCGCGCGCUCCGAGCUCCCCGCCUUCUUUAUGGCGUAUGGCGGUUGUCGCUGAUCUGGCGGUCUGCGGAUUUCGGCGGACAUCCUUCCUUGAUGGCGUCGAUUCGCCUUUGGGGCGUGAACGAUCCUUCGGUAGCCAGGCGUCCCCUGGCAUCACCGAGGCGUCACCCGCCUUUCCGCCUAUUUAACCGGGGGCCCUCCCCCGUCCGCCUUUCUCUUCACAGGCAUCCUCGAGUUUCUCCCUUGUGCUGCUGCCGUUGCCGUCGGACUGUUCGUUCGCUCCUCCUUUGACGCUCUCGGAGCCGUUCUUCCUUUCCUUCCGGUGAGUUGCCCCACUCUUCAAUUUAGGGCUCUCCGUACUUUCUCCUUUCGUAUUAGUGUACCCCAGUCGUUCCGGUCCCUUCUCCCCUCUUGACCCCGUCCUGACCGUAGAUUCACUGGCCANNNNNNNNNNNNNNNNNNNNNNNNNNNNNNNNNNNNNNNNNNNNNNNNNNNNNNNNNNNNNNNNNNNNNNNNNNNNNNNNNNNNNNNNNNNNNNNNNNNNNNNNNNNNNNNNNNNNNNNNNNNNNNNNNNNNNNNNNNNNNNNNNNNNNNNNNNNNNNNNNNNNNNNNNNNNNNNNNNNNNNNNNNNNNNNNNNNNNNNNNNNNNNNNNNNNNNNNNNNNNNNNNNNNNNNNNNNNNNNNNNNNNNNNNNNNNNNNNNNNNNNNNNNNNNNNNNNNNNNNNNNNNNNNNNNGCAGAGGCUUUCUUGGCGUGGGACAUCUUAUGAACAAGAAAGAGGAGAGCGGGGCUAGAGACAUUGGGGUGGUGGAGGUGGGAGAAGGAAAGAAGGAGGUGGGUGGUAAAAGGAAGCAAUGGAGGGCGAUGGAAGGGAGAUAAGACAUGUGGGCGGGGAGAAAAAAAGGGGAACAAGAGCACUCUUGUUUCCACAGGGUGUGACCCCUUGUCUCUUGAAGAGAAAGGGGGGUGCAUGGCCCCCUUUCUAUUGCCCAAAUAAACAAAGGCACCACCUUAUAGGCGGGCAUUGAUGAUGGCUAGGCUUGGGCCUUGGGCAUAGGUAUCACAAACCCUAUCAAAUUUUGGUUUUGCACAUGUUUUAAAAUAUUCAGGUCAUGAUCAAUGCUGUGAAUUCUCAAUAAAUAUGCACUAUCAUACUUUUAAAAACACUAACGCUGUUGACACCAUCCAUUUUUUCUUUGCUUGACGCACAUGUAAAAUACCUCCCAAAUAAAAUGCUUUUUUUCUACUCAUCCAUGUGUUUGUACAUCAUGAGUAGAGUUUUGUAUCUCCAAUUAGAUGGCAUAUAAUUUGUUGUUGAUAUGAUUUAGUCUUUAAUCCUACCGGCAGGAUUCCAGUUCAACUCAUAUACAAUUACAUGUACUUAUAAUACAUACAUGAUGCACACAUAUAGAUUAUAUGCAUGUACAUAGUGAGAGAAAGAUGUCUACAUUUCAUAGUAUAAUCUAAAUACACUCCAAAAGUGUCUAUUUUGCAUUUAAAGAAAUAAAAGAAUCAUUUGAAGGAGAUGGAUAUUAGGGCAUCCUCUUAAAAUGUGAGAAUUCAGCUUUUCAUUCUUGAACAAUCUUACUAAGAUACCUUAACAUCACGACAAGUUCCCACAUUGUCGAGAACUUUUUGACGGCUAAAAGUUUCAAAGGACUCCCCGUUGAAUACCCUAUAAAAACAAUUCUUUUAAGAGCUUAGAAUCUAAUUUAAUCAGCUGUAAAGUAACUUUGACCUUUAGUACAAGUAAAAAUUAUAUUCCAUUAUAUCAUAAGCGUUAUCCAUGCCAAGCUCGAAAGUGACUUUGCCACUUUUCUAUAUUGAGCAACCUUUCACAAAUGCACCUUUUUUCGUGAAGCUGACUUGAGAUUAUACUCUUUUGAAGCUUGCAGGCUAUUAUUUUAUAAAUAAUUCUAGGCAUAACUCCGCUAUCUAAGGAUCAGAAUUAGUUGCCAUGCAGUUGCCAACCAUGGGAGUCAUGGUAGGACCCAUGUAUGUCUUUUAGAAAGAAAUAUUUCUGGGUGACCAAUCUUUUGGAGAUCUUGAUAUGGCUCUGCUUAACUUCAUUCAGCUUAUAAACCAAAAUUUAGAAUUGGCAUAUGACUUCAUCGAAUGUUGUGACAUCAUUAAAAGUUCUCUUUCUCCCUUUCCAUUUGGGUAAUUUGGCACAUAUCACCAACUGCAAAAAGAUUAGUAAUGUUCUUUAUGAUCCUAGGUGCGCAAUAAAAUCUCAAAUGUAUCCAAUAAGAAUUCCUAGGUCAACUGCCUUUCAUUGGAUGUGACAACUGACAACCUAAGGCUAACUGGUGAAAAGACAAGUACAAGAAAUGAAAAAAUUAAUUUCUUUUUAUUGUUACCCUCAUCUUUUUCUCUAUUUUAUCCAUUGAGAGAAGCGGGUAGAGGGAUGAAAUGGUAAUGUGAUGUCAUGCGGUACUGAUACAAGGCCUAUCAGACUCUAAACCCUACAUGUAGGGGAUAUAGGGCCACAAAGCCUGCUUUUUGUUUGCCUGAUGACUAUGUUUCAGGAGCUGUCAUUUCCUCCCACUUUUCCAUGUGUUCACUUCAUGGAUAUACCUUUUCUCGUUCUGAUAGGACCAGAAUAUGUGAGCAACCAUUCUCAUAUUCUCAUGAUGAGCAAUCUUAUUCUUUCUCAUUGUUUGGUGGCCUAAACAGUAAAAUGAAUGUAAUACCACUGUAAUCAGAACUUAGAAAAUUAGUAUCAGUGUCUCUCUUAUCAGGCAGUAUUUCAGUCAGUAUCUUUUACUAUUGUAUGAAGAAAAUUUAAAGUGCAGCUCUCGAUGCAAAUAUAUCGCAUAUUGAUUGGCUGCACAGAUUAGGGAAUGGCUGUAUUGUAGGCGUCGUCUAAAACAUAAUAAUAAUAGUAGCAGCAGCAUCAGUAGUAGUAAUAAUAAUAAUAAUAUUAACAAUAGUAACAAUAAUGGUGAAAAUAAUAAAAUAAAAAUACUAAGGUUUACUACGUUGUCCACAAAGUAAUGUUGAGUACAAGUGGCAUCACGUGUAAGACUUGUGACAGCCAAGGUCAGUGACAAUCCUUGCAUAAGAGGUGGUUGAUCUUCUGGAUUACAAACUCUAGAUGCGUUAUAUAUAUAUAUAUAUAUGAUUUGUAUAACCUAUUUGAGUACAUGUUUAUGUUUUCUUGUCAGUAAUUUGCUUAUUUCUGUAUUGCAGGCCUUACUGGUGCUUUUUGAAAGUUAAUGAUGAAAAAUGUGCAGCAGGUAAGUUUCAAUACUUCUUCUUCCAAUUAGAGUAUAAUACUACGAGAAGUAAGGAGCCAGUGUCAUUUAUUAAAUUGAAGUUACCUUCGACUUUCUGUUAAUUUAUCACUAUUGCCCAAAAGCUGCAUUAACGAGUCACAAACGACUCAAGAUAAUGAGUCAAGAAUGACUCAAGUAACAACUGGCAAUGAGCCUAAGAGAAGAAAAGAUCAUAAAUGAUUAGUAUAAGAAAAAUUGGCCUGGACAGGGAUUUGAACCCAUGAGCUUUGGCUCUAAUAUUAAUUUAAUUUGCCACUGGACCUCAAAAGCUUAAGUUGUUAGGAAAGAAGUAAACAAUGUAUAUUAAGCCGUAACAUAUUCUACAGUUAUUUAUGUGCAUACACUGCACAGUAUUUGCAGUCUGCCCAUGCAAAGUUUGCACAUUGGAGAUACUUCAUUUUGGAUGCAGCCAUGGCAUCUUUUGCUUAUCUAGUUCAUACAUGAUUUACUGAUAAGGCUACUGCAACAUACAUCAUAACCUAAAACACACACAUUUGAAAACAUAAUCCUCUCAUCCUAGUAAUCUUUUUUUUCCCAGUAUGACAAAAAAUGCUUUAACAAUGUCCAAAAUUGAUAGAUUGUUCAGCAGUUACAAGGGCUUAAUCUCUGCAAUGAGUUAAGUCUACCUACCUGCCAGCUGCUCUCAAAGUUUUAAGGCAGGCUUCUUUUGCCACAAGUUGCUUUGUCCAAGAACGAGACACCAUUUAAUGGAUGGUCAUGUUCUCGAAGGCUAGUAAUCUUUUUUUCCCAGUAUAACAAUAAAUGCUUUAACAAUGUCCAAAAGUGAUUGAUUGUUCACCAGUUGCGAGGGCUUAAUCUCUGUAAUGAGUUAAGUCUACCUACCUGCCAGCUGCUCCCAAAGUUAAGGCAGGCUUCUUUUGCCACAAGUUGCUUUGUCCAAGAAUGUGACACCAUUUAAUGGAUGGUCAUGUCAGUUUGAAGGCUGGCCCUGGAUGGUCAAUAUUCCAUGCUUUCUGUGGUCCAUAUAGCCAAAUCCGGAUCGGACGCGAUAAGUUUUCAGCUGAGGAAAUCCAAUAUUGGGUUUUUUAAACCAGAAAAUAGAUGGCUGAGAAAUCUUGUCUUGUACUUAAUCAGUGCAAUUAAGGUGGUCUUCUUUAUAGUUGCCAGAUUAAUGUAUUGUAGCGUGACAAAAGUUUUCAUGAUCACUGCCAAAAUAUUUACAAAGGCAAAGAGUGUUUUCUGAUGAUUUUAAAGCAUGACAUUUCAUCUAUUUCAACUGAUUAUUAACUGCUUAGCUACGUCAUUCAUGAAAAAAGAAUAGGAAAUCAAGAUGUAAUGGUUUUUCAAAUUGUCGAUAUUACCUCUUCCUUUCUCUACAGGGGCCUGCAACAACAUGCUAUGUGGCACUACAUCCUCAAGUUAAUGGAGUGACAGGACAGUAUUUCAGUAAUAGUAAUUUAGCGACACCUAGCUCCAAAGCUUCCGACAAACAACUGGCCAAGAAAUUAUGGGAUUUCAGCUUGAAUUCAAUUGCUUAUUGCUAUAUCGUCGACUUGCUUUAUCUCAUUCUUUAAUGCUCACCUUUUACUGUAAAACCUCUGAAUUAAUUGUACUCCACCUCUGCAUGUGCAUUGCACAUUCUUUUUUUAAAGAAGAAAGAGCAUUUUGAUGAAUUGCUGUGAUUCCAUCAAUGAAGAUUGUUUAUAGCAAAUUUGAUAAAUUACUUCUGUUUUAGUUUGAAUACUAUUUUAUGGGUAUAUUUUUCUAAAGGAGUAGACUAUUAUAAUGAUAUUGUCUUUGUCCCAUGGGACAAGCCUUGGCCUCACACAUAGUCCUCAAAAGGAAUUUGUCUUAUGAUGCUAGAGAAUUUUCUGUACUCAGUACUCACCAUAAGUAAUAGAAAAACAAUGCCAUUGUUUUUCUCAUAACAUAAAUAGCAUGCCUUAGAAAUACCGAAAGAGGAGCAGUGCAUACCCAUAAAUAUCUCUUGAUCAGGCUAUAUGCAACUGAUUCUGUUAUUGUAGGUCUCUGCAGCAGAAAAUGAUGCAACUAAUAGGAGGGAGAGGAAGAAAAGAACCAUAUGUCCAUAAUUCUCCUUGUAUAGAACAUGAAUAAUUAUAAUGGGUUACUAGCUUACUCCAAUGUAAACAUCUUUUUGGUAGAUUUCCUAAGUUCCUUCCACAACUAUUACCUUAACAAAAUUCACUACCAUAUAGGGAAAUAUAAUCUUAUAAUUGAUUUAUAAUCUUUAAAGGUGUCAUUAAAUGAUAAUUAUGUUUAUUAAAUCGAAUCUUUCAUCUCAUAGAUCCCCAGUAUUGAAUCGAAGGUCAAGAUCAGCUAUUACUGUGUCAUGCCUCGAGCCCGGAGCGCAACAGACACUGUACAAGAUCAGCUAUUACUCUGUCAUGCCUCGAACCUGGAGCGCAACAGACACUGUACACCUGUACGGCGGACCGUACAGGUAUGCAAAGCUAUAAAUCAUAUCAAAGCAAUGAUAAAUUUUUAAAAUUUAUUUUUUAAUCAAUAAUUUACUCAAAACAAUCUCCCAAAGUUUUUUUUUUGGUACAGCGGGGACUCACACACGUGUAUGGGUAUAGCCAAGCAAUCUCCUAAAGUUUCAAAAUAACAUAUGACAACAUAAAUUAAUUACUCUAACUAGUCUAUCUAAAAUGCUAAUAACUGAAAGAAAUCUUCAGAAAUCUAGCGUAUUUCCCAAGUCCCGUGCAAUCACGUAUCUGAAUCUGAAAAAUAGAGAAAACAUGAUGAUGAGCUACACUAGCCCAGUAAGCAAUAUAAUACCCCAAAUAUGGGGUCAAACAUGCCAGAUAUUUAGUUAAAAUACGAAAUAAUGAUUGAAAAAUAAAGCACAAAAAAUAUAUUUUUCUUUUCAAAAUUUAUUAUUAUUUUCACAAAAACUCUCAUAUUAGAAUUCCAACAUUAAUAGGAUAUACCACGUAACCUAGUGACAUAGAUUGUACAAAGUGCCCAAUCCACUAUUAUUAACCAUCGGUGGCAACGAUGUCCAAAUCAACUAUUAUUAACCACCGGUGGUAAUGAUGUCCAAAUCCACUAUUUUAAUCACCGGUAGCGCGGUGUCGAAAUCAGUUUCCCACAAAUACAAGUCGACAUGGCCAGCGAAUAAUCUCUAUUGGUAGGGCCAAAAUAGAUCAUAGCCAUACUGCGAAUACAUAUAUAUACACAAAAUAGAUUUUUCAUAAUUUACCCAAUCACAUUUUUCAGAUUUCAUAAUAUAACAUAAAUACAAAAUGAUAUUAAUAUACCUGGCCCGAUUAACUAAGUAUAAAAAUAUACAUCAAAAUUUAAUCAACUAAAAAUUAUUUUACCAAAUAAUUUUGAAAACACAGUUUGAAGUAUUAGGUUACUUACUUCUUUUCACUUUAAAUCCCACUUCAGGCAAACAUGUUAGAUACACUUAUUUAAUAUCAUUAAAAUAUUAUUAAUUUAAACAUAAUUUCAGAAGUCAGAAUUAAAUACUAUAGUCGUAUGCCCCCAGAUCAGUUCAGCCCGAGCAAGGAGGGUUCAACGGGUCAUAGGUGAGAUCGAAAGUGGCCAAAUAUAGCUGGAGCUGAAGUAAUGGCCGGUCUACCACACAAGUACCGGGGCAGUUCGGAAUUUUCAAACUGGGUCAACUUGGAUCCAAGCUAAAAAAAGGACAUGGCUUACACUAGGAUCUCCAAGCUUGUCCAGAGAGAGAAAAAAGAGGAAAGAGAAUCUCUGGUCGAGUUUGGAUUUGGUCUGAUCAUGGUCUUGGGGUUGGUCCUAAUAGUUCAGAUUGACCAUCAGAGGAAUGGUCUAGAUCUAGUCAGAACGUGGGCUUGCUUAGAGAGAGAAAGAGAUACACAAUCUAAGGUUAAUUGAGCUUUUGGGCUUGAUCUACUUAGUUAAAUCCAAUCAGAAGCUUGGCCUAUUCAGUCCGAUUUGACCAAAAUCGAAAAAGAGAUAUUUGACCUAGGUCGAGCAGGAUCAACUAAUAGGCUUUCAGAGAAAUUUUUGCAUUUAAUUGGACAUAUAGUUUAGUUUCACUUAUAAGGUAAGUAAUGCAACACUUUUUUUCUAAAUUUAUGUGUAAUUUAUAAAAUAUUUUCUAUAUGGAAUUAUUCACGAUUUAUAAAAGUGAUCAUAGUAUUUUUAAUUAUUAAAAAUGCCCUUGUCCAAAAUUUUAAACGACUCAUGAUUGAAAGUAUUGAUCUUGAUAUGGAUGAUGCCUUAUUGAUUUUGAUGUCACAUAUUUUUAUGAAUAUAUGUUUAAGAAAAAGAUUUUUGAUUCGAGACAGACUUAGACUCAUAGCCAAUAUAUAUUUUGAUACCCUGCAAGUAAGGAUUAUAUGCUGGCACUUUGACACUCUGAUAGUAGGGGUUGUAUGUUAGCAUUUCGAUAUCCUGCUAGCGAGGGUGGUACGUUGGUACUUUGAUAUUUUGCUAGUGAGAGUCAUACAUUGGUACUUUGAUACCCUGCAAUUGGAGGUACGCGGUAGCACUUUGAUGAGGUCAUAGUUCAUAGCUGUUGAGAUGAACCGGAUAUUUUCAAAGUAAUUGAUUUAUCAAUGAAAUUUGAAUUUUGAAAUAAUUGGAUAGUAUUUAGAUUUGGUUUUGAAUUGAUGUACUUUAGAUGCUUAUUUUCAGCAUAUUAUUAAUUAUUUUAUUGUUGGACUUAUUUUGUUAAAAUAUUCAUUGCUUACUGGGUUGUCUAGCUUAUUAUUCUAUAUUUUAUUAUUUUAACAAAAUUAAAGAACUAGCUUGACUUCGGGAUUCGUUAUGGGAGAGCUACUAAAGAUAGAAUUUUGACAUCUUUUAGUUUAUGUUAGGAUUUUGUUAAAGUUUGAUGCAAGCCUUUAGAAUAUUGUUGCUUUUGUGUGACACUUAAUUUUGAGUUAGUUAUUUAAAUUAAAUUUUGAAUGUUAAUUAUUUAAAUUUAUUCCACUGCUUGUUUAUGAUAUCAUGUUGAGAUGCCUUGCAUGCUUGUGAGAGAGUUUCCUAUGAGCGGUUGCCGCAACCCCUGGCUCGUGAUCUCGAGUUGGGAGCGUGACAAUUAAUAUGAUAUUAGAACAUAAGUGAAUAAACUAUAAAUCAUAAAAUCAGACAUAAGAUGAGUAUAGAUGGGUAUAUAUUGUGGACAUUGGGACAUUAGUUUAUGAUGAUUGUGAUAUAAAUUAUCUUAAUAAAUUUAUAAUUAACUAAUAAGCCUAUUUAGGAUUUGCUGCUACGUGAUGGAGGCAUUAGUUUAGGAUGGUUGCAAUAUAAAUUAUCUUAAUAAAUUUAUGAUUAAUUGAUAAGCUUAUUUAGGUUUGCUGCUAUCUGAUAGAUAUAGGUUAAGAUGUCUGCAUAUUGGAUAAAAAGGACGAUUAGAAAUUCUGCCGUAGAGGCAUCAAACUAGCAGGUUGGUGGUAGUUUCCAGCAAGUUGGUGGCAGUUUCCUGCAAGUUGGUGGCAGUUUCCUGCAAGUUGGUGGCACUUCUCAAUAGGAAAGAGUUAUUGAUCCAACUUGAAACCAUACAGAGCAACCAGAACCUAAUAUGGCCUAAUUAAUGCAGACAUUAGAUGGAUUGAUGCAACUGCAGCAGCAAUUACAAUAGCAACAAUGGCAAAUGCAACAACACAUGCAAAUAUAGCCACUAAAAGUACGUGGGGAGCAGCAGAAGCAGCAAUGUAACAUUGUAGAAUUUAAGAAGAUGGCUCCACCAGCUUUCAAGGGGACUACAUAACCUUUGGAAGUUAAAAAUUGGCUUAUGGAAAUAAAGAAAGCAUUCACCUUUCAAAGAUGCGUUGGGGAUGAAAAGAUUUGUUAUGCAUCAUACAUGUUGCAGGGUGAGGCAUUCAAUUGAUGAUAGAUGCUGGAUUAUAAAUAUGAACAAGAUAGGGAACAACUUACAUCUUUUUUUAAGGAGGAGAAUAUAACACUCAACCCGAUUAGCUGGCCUGGUCCAUUUGACCAGCCUAGAUGAAAGGAUUCAACCCAAGAAAAGACAAGAAGAGAGAGAGAGAGAGGGGAAGAGAGAAGGGCUUCUCUCCUCUCCUCCGUUCCUCUCCCUUCUCUUCUUCUCUUUUUCUCUCUCUUUCCUACUUUCUCUCUUCUAUUUCUCUCUCUUCUUUCUCUCUCUUAUUUCUCUCUCUACUUGGACUUUCUUCUACUCUCUCUAGGGUUGUUGGAUCUGGUAAGAACUCCUCAUGAUUUUGGAUCAACCCUAGUGAAGGGAUCUUGAUCCAUGGCCGUCGAGCGGCAUACUAGCCCCACCUUAGCCCUUGGCGGUUACUAUUAGAUUUAGUCAAUUUUGAAUUCUCCUAAACCAUUUGCACCCUAGUUUAACCAUGAUAAGAUAAAAUUCACCUUGAUCGGAUUGAUCAAGGAGUCGGACAAUCCAGCUUGGUUAACCUUGUGAGAAUGUUGAAUUUAGAAUUUUUAAUAUAAUCCUGAUGAAAUUUUGAUGGGUAUAUAAUUUUUAAAUAUCAAGUUCUGAGAGAAAUUUUUGGAAUUAAUUGGAUCUAUAGCUUGAUUUUGCUUAUAAGGUAAGUAAUGCAACUCCUUUUUUCUAGAUUUAUUAGUAUUUUAUAAAAUAUUAUAUGUAUGGAAUUAUUCAUGAUUUAUGAAAUUGAUGCAUACUACAUUUAGUUAUCAAAUAUACCCUUGUCCAAAAUUUUAAAUGACUCAUGCUUGAAAGUAUUGAUCUCGAUACAGAUAGUGCCUGAGUUUUGAUUCGAGACAGAUUUGGACUCAUAGCUAGACUAUGUUUUAAUUUCCUGCCAAUAAGUGUUAUAUACUUGCACUUUGAUACCUUGUUAGUGGGGGUUGUAAGUGGUAUGCUAAUACUAUGGUCGUAAGAGUUAUGUGGUGGCACUUCAAUACCCUGCUAUUGAGAGUUAUGUCAUGGCACUUAGAUAUGGUCAUAGUUCAUGGCUGUCGAGAUGAACUUGAUGUUUUAAAAUUUUAUUUUAAAACGAUUAGAUAGUAUUUUAAAAUUUUGAAAUUGAUUUAUGAAUAAAAUUUUGAAAUGACUAGAUAGUAUUUAGAUUUGAUUUUGAAUUGAUGUACUAUGUAUGCUUAUUUUCAGCAUAUUAUUAAUUAUUUUAUUGCUUGAUCUAUCUAGCUUAAGUGUUUCUUGCUUACUGAUUUGUCUAGCUUAUUAUUAUAUAUUCUUCUAUUUUAAUAGAUUUGAAGAACUAGCUUGAUCUAGAGAUUUGUUAUAAGAGAGCGACUAGAGACAGAAUUUUGAUAUCUUUGGUUUAGAUUAAGAUUUUGUUAAAGUUUGAUGCAAAACUUUUAAAAUAUUGCUAGUUUCGCAUAACAAUUAAUUUUGAUUUAAUUAUUUUAAUUAAAGUUUGAAUGUUAAUUAUUUAAAUUUAUUCUGCUAUUUGUUUAUGAUAUUAUGUUGAGAUGCCUUGCAUGCUCGUGGGGAGAGUUUUUUUAUGAGUAUACAGCCGUUGCUGCGAUCUCUGGCUCAUGAUCUUGGAUUGGGGGUGCAACAAGUAAAGACUAUCCUUUUUCCAGCAUAGGUUCUAAAGUAUCUCUAUUCUUCGCUGGUGUUUAUUUCCAAUAAUAUAUAUGCCAUUGCUUUAGUGAUUGACAGGUGCUAGAACAGUGAUAUGGACAGAGUUGGGGAUAACAGGCAAUGCCUUUCCACUAAUGUGAAUUUUUGUAGGCACAUUUUGGUCCUAGAAAGUCACUUUUGAAACCUCCAAGCCCACCGUGUUUAGUUUGAAAUUCGAACAUAUUGUUCCUUGCAAAAAAGAAGAAGAAAGGAAUAUGAACAUUAUCUUAUAAACGAGAACAUCGUCUUAGCAUAGUAUGAUACCUACACUAAUGAAUGUUUCUUAUUAUGUUUAAGGUAAAACAAAGAAAAGUCAAUUUGGAUACCUACCACUAAUGAAUGGAAAGAAGUUAUGAGUUAAUUUCAUUAUAUUGCACCAACACCAUAAAGGACUGGAUGCUGACCUUCAUUACAUACUUGGCCUCCUCGGUAACUCUUUUCAUAACAAUACUUUUGUUAAUAACAAUUAACAAAAAUAUGAAGGCAAAAAAAUUAGAAACAUGAUGCAGAAUAAAACAACAUGGACUAAAAAUUUACCCUCCCUUCUAUAACCUUUUUUUUUUAUAUAUAUAUCGCAACCAUUAUAUUUAAGCAAUAAGGCGCAGAGAGAUGAGAUCAAAAUAUAUCGUUUCAAGAAAGAAGUAGAGGAAGCACAAAGGUAGAUUUUACCAACGAUAGAUCCUGUGCUAGCGAAGAUUUUUUUAUUGCAAUAAUUCAUUAGAGGUGUGUUGGGUUCAUGGCCGGAAUUUGAAUCGAAUCGAAGUAGAUUGAAAUAGGAAUCAAAGUUGGAAUUGAAAAAUUAAUUAAAUAGAGAGAGAUUUUUAAAAAAUCAAUUAAACAGAGGUCUACUUUUGGAAAAUUAUUUUUAAAGUAAACCUAAUGUAAUGGAAUUUGGAUAUUGAGAGAAUAGCCAGGAUUGGAUUUUGUGGGGAUUGGAGCAUCCAUAGAAUGGAAAUGGAAAUAGGACUCCCCCCAAAUUUCCAACCAAAUGGUUGGAGUGGGAGUAAUUUAUUCAUAUUUCCAAUUUAAGAGCCCAACUAUUCCCAACCAAUUUUAUCCAAGAAAAAAUGAACAAAAUUAGACAGUGCAGGACAAAAAAGAAUACAGAGCAAGAGCUCCCAUUACUCCUUUUUUAUGAUAUUUCCUUGUCCAAGCAAUUACAUAAUAUGAAAGUUUGCGACAAACUUGAAGGACAGUGGACUAGCUGUUGCCAAACACCCUGACAUCAAUAUUUAUGCGCCGAAGAAGCUUAUGAGGAUCUUGUUUAGAUGGACAUGACAAUUAUAAAGGGACCCACACAAUUGAAGAUUGAGGAAAUGGGAUAUGGAAAAUAGUUUCCAUGUUGAGAUGAGAACUAUGCGAGGCAAAAUGGAUCGUCCUAUUUCGGCAUAAAGUCUCCCAAUUUUGGCCAAGGAGACCUCGGCCCCGCCGAGAGCCAGGCAGACCUCGGCCUCGCCAAAGGCCGAGCCAACUUCCACCAGAGGUCACAACCGACCUCGUCAAGCACAUGUCGUGGUCUCCAAGCCUGCUUGACCUCACCCGCAGUCGAACCUGCGCGCACAUCCACGCCUGCACACAUGGACGAAUAUCCCAACCUGGCCAGCCCCUUGCUUGCUGGCCACGCCAUAACGCAUCAACCAAUGGCCAUGCCCUGUCACACCCAUCAAGGAUCAUACCCUGCCACACCUGCCAAGGGUCAUAUCCUGCCGCACCCGCCGACAUGCCAUGCCCUGUCACACCCAUCAAGGGUCAUACCUGCCAUGCCUGUCAAGGGUUAUAUCCUGCUGCACCCACCGACACGCCAUCUCCAGUUAUUGGCCAACUGAUCGCAUCUCAGCCCAAAAUUUUAGGUAACAACCGCUACCCUCACCCUAUCAAAAAGGGGUAGGGAAAGACCCUCGAUAAGCUUUUACAGGCAUUCUUAAGCUUCUACAAGCUAUUUUGAGCUAAAAGAGGCCAUCAAAGGCACUCAGAAAGAUCAUCUCCACAAAAGGCCUGACUAACUUAGCCAUCGGAGGGCCUUCGCCGGAAUCUCCGGCCAAGGCUUUGUGCAGGCAUCCCAGAGUGCAGGGAGGUGGCCAUCUUGCUCCUUUUCGGACGGCAUUUUCUCGAAGGUACCCCGGACCACCGGAGGCAGCCCUCUUUCUCCAUCCCCGGCUGACGUCUCCUCGGCUCCCUUCCGGCGUGGUUGCCCUUAGGCUAAAUUUCAACCACAACAUCUGGCGCUAGAGAAAGGGCUUGAGUCGUGAUUAUGAGAUUAAGAAAUCGAGGAGCUCCUAAUGCAUUGAGGCACCAGGUACCAACUUCCGGCAACUCGUUUUAAAGCCCACUACUUGCGGCACUGACGGACCAAGUUUCUUAGGUCCCGCUAGAGUAGUACAGUCUGCUCGUCUAGCAGGUCCAGACAAUCACUGCGGCCGUUCAAGGCCUACAGCAGGCGGAAGCCCAGCUUGCAUCUCCUCCUCGCAGGUGCGGGUCCAUAAGAUGGCGCUUGCGGUGUGAUUCCCCAGGCAAGCAGGGCACGAGAGUCCACGAAAGAGAGCAUCGCCACUACCAAAGCUCCCAGAGGCUCGAACCUGAACAUGGGAACAACCAUCGGAGGCAGGUCCACCCCAAGCUGAGCUCAACCUGAAAAAAGAAGAGGCUCCUGGAUAGCCUCGGAUCUUACAUCUUGAUGGCUCAUCAACCUCGGGAGACAGCGGCAUAUGCCUUGCCCAUGCCAGCCCAGAAGUAAUUUGCGGGAGCCACCAAAUCUGUAAUGAUGCCCCGGAGCCGAGCUUGGGGCACUCUGCAGUGUCGACCGCAAGCCCAAGAGCUCCCUCACCUGCACGUAUAAUGACGUUCUGGUCCGAUCUUCGGGGCGCCCUGCCGAGUUGACCGUGAGCCCAAGGGCUCCCUCGACCAUAGGAAAAGACAUUCCGGCUAGAUGAUAGGGCGCCCUGCAGUGUCGACCGCGAGCCCAAGAGCUUCCUCGAUCGCAGGUAUAAGGACGUCCCGAUUCGAGCUCCAGGGCAUCCUGUAGUGUCGACAGCAAGCCCAAGAGCUCCAUCGACCGUAGGUAAAAUGACGUUCGGUUCGAGCUCUGGGGCGCCCUGCCGAUUCGAUCGCGAGCCCAAGAGCUCCCUCAACCUCAAGUAUAAUGAUGUCCUGGUCCGAGCUCCGGAGUGUCCUGCUGAGUUGACCGCGAGCCCAAGGGCUCCCUCGACCGCAAGAAAAGACAUCCCGGCCAGAGGAUGGGGCGUCCUGCAGUGUCGACCGCGAGCCUAAGAGCUCCCUCGACCGCAUAUAUAAUAACAUCCCUGUUCGAGCUCCAGGGCACCCUGCUGAGUCGACUACGAGCCCAAGGGCUCCCUCAACCGCAGGAAAAGACGUCCCGGCCAGAAGGCGGGGUGCCCUGUAGUGUUGAUCACGAGCCCAAGGGCUCCGUCGACCAUAGAAAAAGAUGUCCCGGCUAGAGGGCGAGGCGCCGUACAGUGUCGACUGUGAUCCCAAAAGCUCCCUCGACCGUAGGUAUAAUGACGUCCCGGUCCGAGCUUUGGGGCACCUUGCCGAGGUGACCGCGAGCCCAAGAGCUCCCUAGACCAUAGGUAUAAUGACAUUCUGGUCUAAGCUUCGGGGCGCCCUGCCGAGUCCCUCAACCAUAGGAAAAGACGUCCUGGCUAGAGGGCGGGAAGCCCUGUAGUGUUGACCGUGAGCCCAAGGGCUCCCUCGACUGCAGGUAUAUAUGACGACGGAAUCUACAAUGACGCCCUGAGCCCAAGCUCGGGGUGCCCUGCAGUGUUGACUGCGAGCCCAAGGGCUUCCUCGACCAUGCUCGGGGUGCCCUGCAGUGUCGACCACGAGCCUAAGGGCUUCCUCGACCGCAGGUAUCUACGAUGAUGGAAUCUACAAUGAUGCCUCAGGCCCGAGCUCGGAGUGCCCUGCAGUGUCGACCGCGAGCCCAAGGGCUCCCUCAACCGUAGGUAUCUACGAUGACAGAAUCUACAAUGACGCCCUGAGCCCGAGCUCAAGGUGCCCUGUAGUGUCGACCGCGAGCCAAAAAUGCUCCUCCAACCUUAGAAAAAACUUAAGGGCAUCUCGACCUUGGUUCACUUGCCCAAGUUAAAGCCUAAAAAGAUCUACAAGGUCAAAAGGCACCAAAAUUCACAACGACCUUGUACCAAAAAAAUACUCUGGUAAACUACGGUGAAAGUUAAAUGAGGUUCGAGCUCAAAGGCCUGAAGCAGAUCUGAUGUCCGACCUCGACACCUAAAGCGCGCCAGUGGAUGAGCUCGAAGGCAAUGAGCUCUUCACCAAUUUUGUAAGACUAUUCUAGGUUUAAGUUGGAAACAAAUGCCAAGCGCAAAAAUCCAACACAAGACGUGAAGCAAGACGAGCUCAAACACUGAGAGAAAAAGUGUACUUAGAGAAAAAGUAUGCUUUAUUGAUGUUAAAAGGCCGAAGGCCGAGUACAAAAGAUAUCAACCUUGAGGCCGGAUUGAAUUCAAAAGAGGUCGAUUAUAAAAAGGCCUAAAUGGCCGACCUCACAAGUAUAAAAAAAAAAGCGAGAGAAGAAAGAAAAAAGAAAAUAAAGGGCAAAGCUCAAACAGCUGGGGCGGCAUCUGUCUUGACCUCGGCAGCGGCUUCAGCUCUAGCCUCAGCAACAUCACCAUCCACUACAUCGGCGACGGGCUCGUGGGCCUCAGCGAGCUCGCUCACUUCAGGAGCGACCGCUACCUCGGCGGCCCUAGACAGAAAUAGAUGGAGAUUGUUGAAGUCGACCUCGGGGCAAAGUUGCUGUGCCUGAUCUUGGCAGUUCUCAAAGCUUCGGAUUAAGCCAUCAGUCGCCCCCUCCGCUAGUUUGUCCAGAUACUCCUCGGACUGGCGGUAGCUUUGGAUCGCCUCCCGAAUCCGCUCCUCGGCCAACUUCUCAAGCUGCUCGGCCUUCAGCCUCAAAAUUCCGGCUCGUGCUUGNNNNNNNNNNNNNNNNNNNNNNNNNNNNNNNNNNNNNNNNNNNNNNNNNNNNNNNNNNNNNNNNNNNNNNNNNNNNNNNNNNNNNNNNNNNNNNNNNNNNNNNNNNNNNNNNNNNNNNNNNNNNNNNNNNNNNNNNNNNNNNNNNNNNNNNNNNNNNNNNNNNNNNNNNNNNNNNNNNNNNNNNNNNNNNNNNNNNNNNNNNNNNNNNNNNNNNNNNNNNNNNNNNNNNNNNNNNNNNNNNNNNNNNNNNNNNNNNNNNNNNNNNNNNNNNNNNNNNNNNNNNNNNNNNNNNNNNNNNNNNNNNNNNNNNNNNNNNNNNNNNNNNNNNNNNNNNNNNNNNNNNNNNNNNNNNNNNNNNNNNNNNNNNNNNNNNNNNNNNNNNNNNNNNNNNNNNNNNNNNNNNNNNNNNNNNNNNNNNNNNNNNNNNNNNNNNNNNNNNNNNNNNNNNNNNNNNNNNNNNNNNNNNNNNNNNNNNNNNNNNNNNNNNNNNNNNNNNNNNNNNNNNNNNNNNNNNNNNNNNNNNNNNNNNNNNNNNNNNNNNNNNNNNNNNNNNNNNNNNNNNNNNNNNNNNNNNNNNNNNNNNNNNNNNNNNNNNNNNNNNNNNNNNNNNNNNNNNNNNNNNNNNNNNNNNNNNNNNNNNNNNNNNNNNNNNNNNNNNNNNNNNNNNNNNNNNNNNNNNNNNNNNNNNNNNNNNNNNNNNNNNNNNNNNNNNNNNNNNNNNNNNNNNNNNNNNNNNNNNNNNNNNNNNNNNNNNNNNNNNNNNNNNNNNNNNNNNNNNNNNNNNNNNNNNNNNNNNNNNNNNNNNNNNNNNNNNNNNNNNNNNNNNNNNNNNNNNNNNNNNNNNNNNNNNNNNNNNNNNNNNNNNNNNNNNNNNNNNNNNNNNNNNNNNNNNNNNNNNNNNNNNNNNNNNNNNNNNNNNNNNNNNNNNNNNNNNNNNNNNNNNNNNNNNNNNNNNNNNNNNNNNAUGGCGGAGAGAGGUGCCGACUGAUGAAGUGGCGGAGGAUCUGGUCGCUCCGGAUGCGCCACGGGCGGAAGACGGGGUGACGAUGCUGGGAUUUCGACGCGGCUGGGUCGCUGAUCUUGGAGGAGAAGACGCCGCACGCAGUUGAUGGCGGAGGACUCGGGGACGACGACGACGUUGGGGCAUUCGGCAGGGACGAGCUCCUUUGAUCGCACGGAGGAGGAUUGCAUCGCGGGAGAGGAGGAAGAGGCGCCGCAGGAUCUGGUCGGUGAUGGCGGAGAGAGGUGGCCGACUGCGGGAGGAAGAAGAUAAACAGUGGAUUCCCAAUUUUUUUAUUUAUUAUGUAUUAUUUAUUUUUUUCUCUAACACUGUUCACAUGAACAGUGUUUUCACGAACACUGUUCAUAUGAACAGUAUUUUCGGCAUUUUUUUGGUUUUUUAUUUUGGAUUAAUUGUAUUUUAAUUUAUUCUUGAAUUAACAUGCAAAUUGGCUAUAAGCCUAAUAAGGAUUCAAAUAGAAAUUCACAAAAACAAUUUGAAAAUAAUCCAUCUUCAGUUGGCAUGAAAUGUCUGUCCUAAUCUAAGAUGGUAGCACACCGCAUCUUCAUUAAGCAUGGACUAUCUUAUAUUUACUUAGUGAUCAUGAAGAAUAAUUGCAUAAACGUCAUACUUAAAAUCAUAGAAAUUAAAUAUGAGAUGAAAUAGAAUAUUCAUUAAGAACAAAAUAAAGUUUAUACAACUUCAAGAAUAGAAAUCAAAGAUACAAAACCUUUGGCUCAUUGUUAGGGCUGUAUCCAGCCCUAGUCAAGAGAUCAAGCUUCCAUGGAGUGGUGGACAGCAGCAGCAGUGCAAAAGACUCCCAUCAUAACUGCCUUCUUUCUGUGAAAAGUUCUUCCCACAAUACCCAAAGUACUCUCCCUCCUUGGCUUCUGUGGGAUUCGGCCUGAGAAAGCUUGGGUGAGAAAGCUGCUCCUCUCCUUCACGUCCUGACUCCUUUUUAUAGGCUGCCUACCUCCCUCUCUCCUCCCCUAUUCUGAGUGAGAAGAUAAGAACACAGGAUGCACGUGGGAUAUCUUGGAGAUUUGCUGGGAUUGGAGCUUAUCCGGGAGAAGAUCUUUGGAUUCAAUCUGGAACCGUAGCUCUGUUUCGCUGAUGGGAGCUUUGGAUGAACUUUGUUCCGCUGGGAGGAUAAUGCGGAAGGAUGGAGCUAAUACAUUUCUUCAACGCAGAGGGGACGCGGAUGGCUGAAAGUGAGCUGAGCUGGAACCAAUCCUAUAGAAAUUCUGGGGAGUGAUCUAUUCUGAAAGAGGAGCUGAUGCCGUUUGGGAAUGAUCCGGAAGACUUUUGAGUUGGAUCUGUGGGUGAGUAGCUGGGAGAAUGGAAUCGGAUCCAUGCGGACGUGGACGUGAUCUGGAAGAAGGUGAUGCUGCUUCAAUCGUGGAGGGCUCUGUUGAUGGAUAGGGAGAUCACUUGCGGUUGGUUGGGGUUAAUCCGGAAUGCUGAGUAGAGGAAAAUCCAUCGUGGGUGGAAGCUGAUUGCAAACGAGAUUGGCUGCAGGAUGCUUGGAUUGGUUUGAGUCAAUCUGGCAUGCCGGGAUGCAUGGGAGAAAUUCGGAAGAAGAGAACCAUGGACGUGGGAUGAAGAUGGAGUUAAUCCGGAAUGGGAGGGAUUCUGGAUUUGGCUGGGUUUGAAUGUUUGAUUUCCUUCGGCUGGGAAGAAUCCUUCGGCUGGGAACAGGGGAUGAUGCAGUUGGGAUGAUGUUCACGGUUGGGAGGAGAUGGGAUGCUGGGAUUCUAUUCGUGAACGGGAGGAAUCCGGAACAAGAGGAAGGUUGGAUUCUGCUGGGAGUUUGGUUGGAUUUGUGAACGAGAUAGAUCACGAACAGGAUGAGAGCUGGUUUAGGAAAGUUGCUCGAUCUGAUCCUGGCAUUGGGGGAGAUCUCACAGACGGCUGGAACACAUGGAUGAAGCGGACGAAUGAGGGACCGUUGAGAGCGAGCUCUGUUUUGAGGUGGGGAUGGAUUACGUGGAAGAA